ACGGGGAUGGGCACACAUAGAGGAAAGACCACGUGAGGACACAGGAGCUGGUGGCCGUCUGCAUGCUAGGGAGAGAGGCCUCAGGAGAAACCAACCCUGUGGACACCUUGAUGUCAGACCUCCAGCCUCCAGAACCAUGAGAGAGAAAUUUCCAUUGUUUACAAGCUCCCCGGUUGAUGUAUUUUGUAGGGCAGCUCUAGAAAAGUAGCACAUUACCCAAAGACAGGUGUUGGCCCUCAUUUUUGCUUUUGGGAGAGUGAUUCUCACGAUUUAGGCAGACAGAGAAAAGUUUCCUUUUAAACCUAGUGCCUGGAACAGAGAAGAUUAGCCCUGAGCUAACAUCUACUGCUAAUCCUCCUCCUCUUGCUGAGGAAGACCAGCCCUGAGCUCACAUCUGUGCCCAUCAACCUCCACUUCACAUGUGGGACACCUACCACAGCAUGGCCCGCCAAGCUGUGCCAUGUCCACACCCGGGAUCCGAACCAGUGAACCCUGGGCCACCAAAGCGGAACUGUGCGCACUUAACUACUGCGCCACCAGGCCAGCCCCAGAAGAUUUCAUUUGAUCCUGCUUUUCUGGAGCAAUGCCACCAACUUCAUUUGUAAUGUGCUGCCUUUGUCUUUGGGUGGAAAAUGGCGGAAGAACAGAGGAGCAGGUGUCCUUUAUAUGCACAUAACCUCAUAAACUUCAAUUGAUUCGUUGCCACCUGUUAUCAAACGACACCUGCAUAACAGACUGCAGAUAACAAAAGAGGCAUUCAGGGGCAGACAACUACGGUUAUGCAAUUGAAAGUCAAGGUUGCAUCUUUGAGUCCACCUAGAUAGUUGUGGGCAUUUCCUUUUUUUUCCUCAAUAGUAAAUACAUUCAUAUGGUUCAUAAAUUUAAAAAUAUGAAAUGGUUUACAGUGAAAGCUUUUUUGGGUCCCUUGACUGUGCAGUUUUCAUCUCCCAGCCCUUACCAGUCACUAAUUAGUUUAAUCAGUUUCAAGACUAUUCUUCCAGAAUUUCUUCAGGCAAAUACAAGUGUCUACGACCUCAUGUAUGUUUAAGCUGGGGAUCAUUUAAAGAACACCAUACCUAGUGGGAAUGAUCUUCUGACAUUUUUCCUUUUUUGAUGUAAGAAAAAAAUAUUAUAGUGAACCUUUGCAUGGUUUUAAUUUUCUAGCAAUAGUAGAGAUAGCCUGGCCUACUAACCAGUGCUGGGCUAGGCGUCAAUAGAUGCGCCAUUAAUUUAAAAUAUAACUCUGAACUCUCGUUCUUUGCGCUUCAGCUGAGAAGGAGAAUAUGCACCCGUGAGUGUGAAGGUAAAAUGGGGACAUGCAAGUGUCAGUGCUCUGAAAAGUGUAAGCUCGCAGGCAAAAAGAAGGCAUGAAUGAUGCCCUUCAUGAGGACCAGGGCAUCUUCCAA
RNAcentral lists this long non-coding RNA (1406 nucleotides) under Equus caballus (horse). RNAcentral's name for it is "lncRNA (ENSECAG00000052110.1)". The record is from RNAcentral. Lineage: Eukaryota; Metazoa; Chordata; Mammalia; Perissodactyla; Equidae.